Sus scrofa (pig) is the source of this 4731-nucleotide non-coding RNA. NCBI's taxonomy places the organism in Eukaryota, Metazoa, Chordata, Mammalia, Artiodactyla, Suidae. The record is from RefSeq and is a predicted model, not a curated record.
CUGACAAGGCUAGGGAUCGAACCCACAACCUCAUGGUUCCUAGACAGAUUUGUUUCCACUGCACUACAACAGAACUCCAGCCACAGUGUUUUACAGCUCCUCUCAAUGAGAGGUGGAGUCUAUUCUCUCAUCCCUUAAGUAUGAGCAGCACCUGUGAAUUAACUCUAAGCACAUUUAACAGUGUUAAUGUUUGGGGUCUGGAGCCUAGGCCUCAGGAGUCCUUUCAGCCUCUGUCUUCCCCCACUUGGAAUCCUGCCCUGAGACUUCCAUGAACAGAAGCUGGUUCAGCCUCCAUGAGGAUAAAAAGCCUUGUGGAGGGAAACCAAGGUGCCCCAGACAACGGCCAGCAACAACUGCCAGGGUCUCAGGCCAAUGGACCAGUAGCCUGUGAUUCUGAUGAGCGCUCUGAAAACAGGUGAAAACUGUUCAUCCCUUCUUUGGCGUCCUCAUCACAGGUGGUAGAAUUGAACUGCUCCUAGCAGAACCUGGGAAGAAAUACCUCGAGUCAGUUUGUUUUCUGAGUUCUGCCACGGUUAACGGACUUCCUGUGCAGGAGAUGCAGCUGUAGCCUGGCCACAGAAACAGAAGCAUACAGUUUCCACCUCUGACAAUGAAAGCUGGGCCUCGUGAGAGCUGGGAAAACCUGGGUCUGAAUCUUCCCACUUAGCUCGAAGCUCCUGUCUGGACCACAGCAGCCAAUUCUCACAACAUACAGUAGGAUCACGGCGUGAAGAGCACUGACUUAGAAGCUGCAUACGAACACGGCAAAUGACCAGAGAGCAGACACACCAGCUCUGGUGGGACAGCGUUCCUUGGGGAAAACACAGAGACAGGAACAGAUGCUGAAGAUGAACAGCAGGGAUCUCUUGGGAAAAAAUAUAUCUUCAAACAAGGGAGAUCCAGAAAAGCUUUUGUCUUCCAGGCUAGACUAUAGCCUUCUAUGGCCAAGAUGGAAACAGGCUGCAAUGUGGAUAUGAUGGCUGGAGCUGAAGCAGCCAUCCUGUGACCCUGAGAAUGGAAGCCAUUUAUUAAGGCUGAGGAGCUGACCUAAGAGCUCUGAAUGCCUACUUCUAGACUUUCUUUUAGAAAGAGAAACAAAUACUUAUGUAUUUAAGACAUCUUUUUCUUGGGGGUGAGGGAGUAACCUAAUCCUGAUAUGAUUGGUCUUUUUUUUUUUUUGGAAUGAUUGACUAUGGGAAUUUCUCCUUUCUUAAGGAGUAAUACCAACCCCCACCACUAGGGGGUGAUGUUGCUCUAUAUGCUGCAACGUGACAGUUACAUUAUUACAGAGGUCCAAACUCAGUAUAUUCUGUAUAAUUUAGUUUAAAUAACAGUGUGAGUGAGACAGCUAUGGCCCAGUAUGUUUGGGCUGAGCUUUGAUGAACUCCAUCAAAUUCCUCUAGCAUGAGAUCUGGAUUUCAAGUUUUUCUUGUUUUUUCAACUCUAGACCCUCAGCUUCUGCAAGCAAGCCCCCAAACCAAAGAAAGUAUACAUAGAGGAAGCUCAGAUUAAGGCAAAAAACAGUUUGUAUUUGUAUUUCCAAACGGAACAGUGAGCUUCCAGUUCAAAUGGCAUUGAAGUUAAUGGUAACUGCACUUUCUAAUAAGAAGCACUGGGUUGGAGUUUCCUUGUGGCUCAGCAGGUUAAGAACCUGGCAUAGUCUCCAUGAGGCUGCGGGUUCUAUCCCUGGCCUUGCUCAGUGGGUUAAGGAUCCAGCGAUGCUGUGAACUGUGGUGCAGGUUGCAGAUGUGCCUCGGAUCUGGUGUUGCUGUGGCUGUGGUGUAGGCCUGCAGCUGCAGCUCCGAUUCAACCCCUAGCCUGGGAACUUCCAUAUGCUGCAGGCACGGCCAUGAAAAGAAAAAAAGAGGAAGUAGCAGCAGCAGUGGGUCAACACUGGCUUUAUGUUUGUGUAAAUAAAGAUCCCUGUCUGGGAGGUCUAAUGAAGGUUCUGCUAUGAAAGGAUUUAUUGAAAUUUUCACUUCCUCAAGGUAGAAAAUCACUUGAAGUACUUAAGUGACUUUUUCCAGUUUAUACUCAUCAAAGUUUCAAAAAUCUCCAGGCUGGGAGUUUCAGUCAUUAAAAAUCUGAUGUGAUGGGAGCAAUUUAUCUAGCUCUCACUCUGGCUCAGGGCAGGUUGCUUUCUCAAAAUGAAAGUACAGUACCAGUGCUGUAAAAAAACAAAACAAAAAAAGCCCCACGCAAAACUAACCAACAAAGGAACCUGUGGUUGUAAAAAAUCUUCUUUUGACAGUUUCAGAUCACAUUGCCUUGGUAUCAUCUGUGCCCUCCUUGUCUACCUUUCGUUUAUACCCCAACACUGUGGAGUUAAGUAGAGUUUGGGGGGGGGGCUUCAUAGCAAACUAAUAAUCCUGGAUUUCUCUUCUCAGUUUCCUUACUAAAGUGGCAUGUUGGGUAUAACCAAAACUCCCUGUGGAAUGGAGAAAUAGUCACUUUUCUUUCUCCUCUUAAAGAUAACACUGGAAGUUUUCAUAUGUGAUAAAAUCGGUAGCCUCCAAGUAGGUGAAAGGCCCCUAAUUAACUGCCCACAGGCAGGGAAUUAGGUAUCCGCUUCCUCAGGGGGGGUCCCUUGAGGGUGGGGCUUCACGAACGCAAACACAAGAUGCCCAGUUAAACUGGAAGCAUUUUUGGUAAUUUUUGAGAUACUCUUAUACUAAAUAGUUACUCACUGUUUAUCUGCAACUCCAAGUUACUAGCGUGUCAUGGAUUUUAUCUGAUAACUCUGUGGGGGUGGGGUGGAGGGAAGGCAGAAAAAAAAAAAAAAAAAAAAAAAAAAGCAGAUUCUGGGAUCCCUCAAGGGGACUGCCCCGGGGAAAGUCACUGACGAAAAACAAAACAGCCACAAACCACUGUGGGCAGGUGUUCCAGGGUAAUUCAUGCCUUCUUCUUAUGUGUGUUGGCAGUAGCUCGGAUGUCUUCCCUCUCUGGGUGUAUUAAGAGCUCAGUUAGGGAUGCUGAUCACCUGGCUCAUCAAUGUCCACUGAGGAAUAGAUGGGAGGGACCUCCUCAAGCCCCAAGCUUUUGGGAUUGUGGGUUCUGUCCUUUCAGACAUAUAUCUGUGUGGGGCUGGGAUGCUGGGUGUCCUCUUCUUAGAGACACAGCAAUCCGUCAUUGCCUUGAGGUCCAGAGUCCCCAGUUGUCCUUUAGAAGGCAGCUUGUCCAAAUGGCAGAAUAAGAAAAAGAUUUGGUUUGACGCCCUUCUUGAGUUUAUGUGCUCUGGAGUACCCCUUCUACCAGCCCUGCCCAACAUCUAUUUUCCAAAUGCCUGGCUUAGUCAGAGUCUAAUCAGAAUCCAUUGAAUAAAGAGAAUACGCACCAUCUCCUCUGACUCUAGAAACGAUACACGUGGGCAGUGUUCCAUUUUCUGCCUUUUUAGUCUCCAUUCCAGGCUUCGUACAAAUACACACACAUGAAACAUACUGAACUACGAGUCACUUUCAGGGUGACAUCGCAGGUAAGGAGUCCUUCUUUCAUUUGAAUUCCCUUCUGACAUUGAUUCCUGUGUUCAGUAAAGUGAAAGGUCUCACCAGCUCUGGGUUUCUUGCUUUUUGGCAGGGAGAUACCUGAAGACUUGGCCUCCCUCUAGAAUAAGCACCCCCCCCCCACUGUCCUCUCCCACUGCUGACUCAAUUCACUUGCCCUCAGGUCUUAGCCCUCCCAGGGAAGCUUCUUCCUUAUAUCUCAUCUAAAUCUUUACCCAUCUUCUCUAGGGAAAAAAACCUACCUUUAUCUUCAGUAUGAGAUAUCAUCCCUCCUUCCCACGUCAAGAUCCCAGGUCUGUUUUUCAGUCUGAUGUAGCCCCACUGGAUGCUCAGAGAUGUUUAUGGACAUCAAAAUCUUUUUUUUUUUUUUUAACUCCCAUCAUAACGGGUAACUGUGGAUCUCUCUGGUCACAAUGUGGCUUCAUUUCCCAGUAUGAGCUGCAGGCACACCAGCCCUUUGAAUCAUGGACUGGUUAAACUGGGCACGUAUACUAUCUCAGGGAGGAGGUGGUCAGAACCCUCAUUGAGAGAGAUCUAUUUUCUCACUGGCCAGGCAGCCUAGCCCCAUUAUUGUUCAGAAAGCUUUUCCACCUUUCCGCAGUGUGGAGAGAGGAGCUAGGUUACCCGUUAACGAAUGCUCCCUUGAAAAGGCCAGGAAGAACUCUAGACUGGAUUAAAUUAUUUAGGUUCAACCCGUCUCCCCUGGGGAAAAGGGAAUGUAGGGGUGAGUUUGGUUGGCAGUUCUUAUUAUAUGGAUGUUUGCUGGGACGUAAUUUGGACCCUCAUUUCCUUUAGAUAGCCUUCCUGAUUUUGGUCCUCUCUAAAUUAUGCAUGAAGUUGCUUUUACAGCAGGAUACUGUGAGAUUAGCUGCUCAGAGAUAAUGUUAUUAUUUCCACCUUAUGUUAUUUUUUAUCACAACUCCUAGAAUCCAGUUCUACCAUCUUCUUAUGUCUCUUUGUUCCUUCUGGAAUGCUUUGCUCUGACUCCUGUUUCCCAGGUACCACCGGUUCCUGCCUUACAUCUGGCUUUCUUGGACUUCCAGAUCUUGGCACAUACUCCUGGUCUGGAAUAAUCGUUUUUUCAUCCCUCUUGCAUCUGACCUACUCACACUUGUCUUUCCUGUCUCAGAGUAGCCGCACCGACUUCCUUAGAUGGGCUUCUUAAACUUUGGUAUGCCAAAGUAUCAUCUGGAGAUCUUUUUUAAAAGAUAAUUUCUUUUUUUCAUCUCUA